RNAcentral lists this long non-coding RNA (5320 nucleotides) under Gossypium barbadense (sea-island cotton). RNAcentral describes it as "long non-coding RNA (GBAR_LNC013275)". Lineage: Eukaryota; Viridiplantae; Streptophyta; Magnoliopsida; Malvales; Malvaceae. The record is from RNAcentral.
UACUUUUCAGUACCUAUAGAUUUGCAUAGCAGUGUCGAAUCAAUUACGGACAUGUACUCGGUUCCACAAUUGGAAAGCUAAAAUAGCAGAUUUACAGACUCACAGUUACUUGCUCCGUUUGAUCCUCUAUUUGUUCGAGAUGAACUUCUGGGUCUAGAAUAAAACCCUACAGACAUUAUCUCUACCUUGCUUAUAAACCAGACAUGUAAGACUACAACCUUAACAUAUCAAGAAUCUUAAACAGACAUCUAAGACUACAGCCUUAAAAUGUCAAGAAUCUUCAACAUGGAAUAAGACCGUGAAGAAAUACAGGUAUGAAGAAGUACUGAUGAAAUUGUGAAUCUAUGAAUGAAAAUAAUUUGGAACUAAAUUGAAACUUCUCUUUUAUCAAUUCUGAAUUUAGACUACUAAAGCUACCAAAUACAAUACCAAGACUGUAUAUAUAUAGACUUUGAGAUAACUGCUCUUCUUAACAUCUAGCUAACAAUUUUAGCUAACUCUAACUACCUCCCUAACCGACUCAUUAUAUCUUUAACAUUCAUCCAUCCUCCCCACGGGUAAGACCCGAAGAAGAUUUCGAAACCGAGUGAAAUAAGAAAUCGAAAGUGGCUUAGUAAGCACAUCAGCCACUUGAUCAGACCCAGGAACUUCAACAACCCGAAUCGAUCCAUCAGCAACCUUUUCACAGACAAAAAAUGAUCCAACUCUACGUGUUUGAACUUGGAGUGUAGAACAGGAUUAGCAGCAACAGCUACCGCACUGGAACUAUCACACCAAAUAUUAGGUAUAUCAUCAGACUUAACAUUUAAUUCCUGAAGUAAUGACAGCAACCACAUGAUAUCGCUGGUAACUGCAGCAAGACUUUUGUAUUCAGCUUCAGCUGUUGACCCAGAGACCACAUGUUGUUUCUUGGAUGACCACGAAACUGGAUUUGACCCCAAAAAAAAUACACAAUACCUUGACGUGGAUCGUCAAUCAUCAAAAUCCAAUCCCCAGUUGGCAUCAGCAUACCCAACUAGAGACAGCUGUCCAGACGGGCGAAAAACAACCCCAUAGUCAAGUGUGCCAGACAAGUAUCGCAAGAUCUGCUUGAGAGUAACCAAAUGAACAGUGGUAGGACUAUGCAUGAACUGACAAAUCCUGUUUACUGCAUACGCAAUAUCAGGCCUAGUAAGAACAACAUACUGUAAUGCUCUAGCAAGACUCCUAUACUCAAUCGGAUCUGACAGAGGAUUGCCAUCACCCUUAGACAGAUUUGACGAGCUAAUCAUUGGCGUAUAAACACUUUUAGCAAUAGUCAUAGAACUUCGUUCAAGAAGAUCACGGACAUACUUCUUUUGACAAAGAUGAAUACAACCGGAGGAAGAUCGAGUAAAUUCAACCCCAAGGAAAUAAUAAAGGUCACCCAUAUCUUUUAACGAGAACUCAUCAAUCAAUAACUUCACAAACCAAUCAAUGGAAGUAGGCACAUCCCCAGUUACGAUAAUAUCAUCUAUAUACACAAGGACGUAGAGUGUAAAAUCAGGUUGUACACGAACAAAUAACGAAGCAUCCAAUUUUGAACCAACGAAGCCAACUGUCACAAGAAAUUCCUUUAGCUUUUCAAACCACGCUCGUGGAGCCUGACGAAGACCGUAUAGAGCUUUCUUUAGACAGCACACCAGAGGUUUCCCAUCAGAACUAUACUACACAUAUCCUGGGGGUUGCUGCAUGAAUACCUUACUAUCAACAUCACCAUUUAAGAAUGCAUUGUACACAUCAACUUGUCGAAGUGACCACCCUCUAGAGACUACAAUAGACAAGAUGACCUUGAUAGUAGCAGGUUUCACCACUAGACUGAAUGUUUCCUGGAAAUCACAACUUGGAACUUGAGAACAGCCUUUUGCGACUAAACGCGCUUUACGACAAUCAACAGACCCAUCUGGAUUUUGCUUGACCUUAAACAACCAUUUACACCUUAUAACCUUACGACUCGGUGGUAGAGGAACAAGAUCCCACGUAGCAUUGCGAAUAAGCACAUCAUACUCAACUUGAGCUGCAUCACGCCACUCAGAGCUAGCAAAUGCCUCCUUAAUCGUAGAAGGUUCCACAGCUUCAACAGUCAUGACUCUUGUUUAAACACACCAACCUUUGAUCGAGUAAUCAUUGGGUGAACAUUCGUAGCAGACAAAGAAAUGUCAGGUCCCGUUAGAGCAGACGAAAUCUCAAUAACGUGUGUAAUGUGUUGAACAUUCGUAAACUGUGAAUCAACAGUACCAGUGUUUGGCAAACUAACAUUGACAUGUGCUAGAUUAACAGCUACUCCAUCUUAAACAACAAGAGACCUGCUCGAGGAACCCAGAGAAACAGGAACAGACACCAAGCCUUCAGACCUAGGAGGGACAAUAUUGACCAGAGGAACACAUGUGGGUAAAGAGAUUGGCUCACUACCAGACCUUGGCUUGUCAAGAGAGAGAAAUCAUUUUUCAUCAAACUCCACAUGGCGAGAAACUAUAAGUUUACCAUCAGGCAAGAGACACUGAUAUCCUUUGUGACGAGCAUUGUAUCCCAAGAAAGUGCAGGGCUUCGACUGGAACUCUAACAUAUAACGUUGAAAUGGUCUCAAAUAAGGAUAACAACAACAACCAAAAACACGCAAAUAAUCAUACUUGGAAUCAUGCCCAUAAAGAGCUUUAUAUGGAGUUUGACCAUACAGCACCAGUGUGGGAAGACGAUUAAUCAGAUGUACUGCACAAGUAAAAGCAUACGCCUAAAAUUCCAUAGAAAGACCUACUUGAGCCAGCAGAGUAAGCCCCAUGUCCAUAAUGUGCCUAUGUUUACGCUCCGCGACUCUAUUUUGUUCAGACGUAUGAGGACAAGACAGGUGAUGAAUGAUACAUUGAUAAGCUAGAACUGAGGUGAAAGCUUGAUACUCGCUACCCCAAUCACUCUGAAAUAUUUUUAUAGUUUUACCAAAUUGAGUUUGAACAAGUUUCUGAAACUGACCAAAACACUCCACAACCUGAUAUUUCUGCCAAAUAAGGUAAAUCUAAGUGAACCGAGUACACAUAUCAAUAAAUGUCACAUAAAACCAGUUAUUAGUACAAGCAACCGACGCAGGUCCCCAAACAUCAGAAACAACCAAAGCAAAUGGACCAGUAUACUCAGUAGUGGAAUCAGAAAAAGGCAACUUAUAAAUUUUCUUUUUUUUUUACAUGCAGUACAAACAUUGUCACUAGAAACGUUAUUUAAUUUGAUAUGACAAUUAUUAAGAACAGUCUUGACAACCGAAGUAGAUGGAUGGUCAAGACGUUUUUGCCAUAACAAAAAAAAACCUCACUAUCAGCAGGUCGAUGCUGGAGUCUAACCUGAGCAGUAGAUGGAUUAAUAGUAGCCGGAUCAGACCCUUGCGGCAGAGAAAACUAAUACAACCCAUUACGAAUAUGCCCUGUCAGCAGAAUUUCUUGCGUCAUGUUAUCCUUAAUAGCACAAUGUGUAGAAUGAAAUUAAAAGAAAAUGUCAUUUUCAAUCGCAAAUUGAGACACUGACAACAAAUUCUUUCGUAUAGUAGGGACACACAACACAUUAGACAACCGAAACACCCUAGAAAUUGUAGGUAAAACACCUUGACCAAUUCAAGAAAUCAUAGUAGGCGUACCAUCACCCAUUAAAAGAGAAGACUUACCGGAAUACAGAACAGGAUCGCGCAGUAUAGAAGAACCCUGACAUACAUGAUUGCUAGCACCAGAAUCAGGGUACCAAGACGUGGUGCCAACCGACCAGGAACAGUGCCAUCAGCACUCGUCCCAUGAUGAGUGGUGUUUAGAGUCGUGUCAGAAUAAUUAGAAGCAUGAGAAUCACCAAGUCAAGAAAGCCCAACACAAACACGAGCCCGCGGUUUAGUACGCCAUGAAACCUACAGACAUCAUCGUCAUUGGACCAUUGCCAAAUUGAGCAUUAUUAGAAAUAGGCUCAUUGAUAUUUAAAGGAGCGAACGGCCUAGGAAUAGGCCCAAAAUCGCACCCAGCCCAUUAUUAAAACCAAAAUGACGCGACCCUUUAUUGAAAUGAAACUGUGAUGGCCCAUUAUAACCUUGCGACAUCAUUGGCCCAUAGAAAGACGGACCAACAUUUGGCCCACACCAAUUUGCAAAAUCAAUACGCGGCUGACAAGUUUGACCAUAACCCCAAUUUUGACCAAUUUACCAAUUUUGACCAACGCCAUAUCCUGGUUGACCAACUGCAUUCUACCAAUUUUGAGGGUUAGAAACCCUAGGACGCGUGUUCAGUAGAGAGACCCAAGCAAGACCACGAGAAUCGUCACGAACCAUACUCACCAAAGUACUCACUGGAGAAACAUCAUCACGGCGAUACUGAUAAAAAUAAUGCUGUGCAACAUAACCAAAUCGUGAGCAGAUUUAACACUGGAGAUGGGGCCGAAAACCCCUACCCUGACCUCGUGAAACCACGCGACCAUCGCGAACAGAUCCGUCUAUGGCCAACGACGAUGAAUCUUCAACGAGGUUCGCAGUAAAGAUGAUCUCUUAGACUACUUUCGCCUGUCGAGUUUCACAAUCAAGAAGAGCAUCAAAAAGGCGUUAAAACAGAACUGGAGUCAGAGACAAAGAGGCGACAGAAACAACAGCAUCAAAUUCCGAUGAGAGUCUUGUAAGUAAAACCCCCAUUUGCUCGGCCGCAGAGAUAGGAGAAUCAGACGCGUCCAGAAUCGCGCAUAAUCCUUUCAGUUUAGCAAUAUACUAACGAAUGUACAAACUCUCCUUCUUGAGAGAAAGCAGAUCGUGACGCAACCGAGAUUGCUUCACCUCCGUAUCGCCGUAAAGAGCGCACCUGCCACCAUCCACACAUCAAAUGCUGACUGAACAUCUAUGAAAAAUGACAAGUCAGAGGCACUGAUAGUGGAGAGAAGCCACGAUGUCAACAAAUUAUCUUGCUGUUGAAACACCGUAGCAGUCGUGUUAACCACAAGAGCACUAUCAUGUGCUUGUACAAACAUCGGUGGAGCCACAACAAAGCUAUCAAGAAAACCAAACAAACCAUAACCAGUCACAAUAAACUGUAUCUUCUGUUUCCAUUACACAAAUGAGCGUUCAUCAAGUUUUACAACAUCAUGUCUCGAAAAAGAAUUAACAGUGCGAUUUGCAGCAAAAACAGAUCCUUGCUGCUCAGCCGAAUCAGAAUUAGGAGAAGUCAUGGUGGUCAUAUCCUAGGAUCACCAAGUGACUCAUACCAUGAAGAAAUACAGGUAUGAAGAAGUACAGAUGAAAUUGUGAAUCUAUGAAUGAAAAUAAUCUGGAACUAAAUUAAAACUUCUCUUUUAUCAA